GUAAAAUGAUGAAUGUGUUUAUCCAUUCGCAGAGUGCAGCCUGCCACUCACCCCACAGCACACAGUUCUGUUUUACACUCUGGGUGUCGUGCAUCCAUCUUGUACCAACUGGUCAAUCGGUGUUUUACUGAGGGGCUGUUGGUCCCUGUUUGGGUGCCUGUGGGUAUGAGGGGGUUUGGCAGAGUUCGACCCUUCUAGGAUCCAACUCAACAAAGAUGAUUGAUGCAAUCUGAUUAC
This is a small nucleolar RNA of Callorhinchus milii (elephant shark), 237 nucleotides long. Lineage: Eukaryota; Metazoa; Chordata; Chondrichthyes; Chimaeriformes; Callorhinchidae. The record is from Ensembl.